Molecule: unclassified non-coding RNA, 90 nt
Filed under: Pseudomonas arsenicoxydans
Lineage: Bacteria; Pseudomonadati; Pseudomonadota; Gammaproteobacteria; Pseudomonadales; Pseudomonadaceae
Source: RNAcentral
UGUGGGAGCGGGCUUGCCCGCGAUGAGGGCGUGUCAGUCGAUAUCAAUGUUGCCUGAUACACCGCUAUCGCGGGCAAGCCCGCUCCCACA